Bufo bufo (common toad) is the source of this 125-nucleotide long non-coding RNA. RefSeq lists it as uncharacterized. Lineage: Eukaryota; Metazoa; Chordata; Amphibia; Anura; Bufonidae. The record is from RefSeq and is a predicted model, not a curated record. The transcript has 5 exons.
GACCCGCCAGCAUCAGGCCUGGACUGUGACUUAUGCAGCGUCCCACUACGUGUGUGUGGGCACUGCUUAAAAGCACUUUUUACUCUAAAAACUGUACUAUGCUGUAUUAUGUGACUUUGUGCUAA